This 468-nucleotide ribosomal RNA is filed under the name uncultured bacterium. Its description in RNAcentral is "partial 16S ribosomal RNA". It matches the Rfam family "Bacterial small subunit ribosomal RNA", at positions 28 to 507 of the family's 1533-position model. The record is from RNAcentral.
GACGAACGCUGGCGGCGUGCUUAACACAUGCAAGUCGAACGGAAAGGCCCUGCUUUUGUGGGGUGCUCGAGUGGCGAACGGGGGAGUAACACGUGAGUAACCUGCCCUUGACUUUGGGAUAACUUCAGGAAACUGGGGCUAAUACCGGAUAGGAGCUCCUGCUGCAGGGUGGGGGUUGGAAAGUUUCGGCGGUUGGGGAUGGACUCGCGGCUUAUCAGCUUGUUGGUGGGGUAGUGGCUGACCAAGGCUUUGACGGGUAGCCCGCCGGAGAGGGUGACCGGCCACAUUGGGCCUGAGAGACGGCCCAGUCUCCUACGUGAGGCAGCAGUGGGGAAUAUUGCACAAUGGGCGGAAGCCUGAUGCAGCAACGCCGCGUGCGGGAUGACGGCCUUCGGGUUGUAAACCGCUUUCGCCUGUGACGAAGCGUGAGUGACGGUAAUGGGUAAAGAAGCACCGGCUAACUACGUG